This 384-nucleotide ribosomal RNA is filed under the name Acinetobacter sp. TPHK3. RNAcentral's name for it is "bacterial SSU rRNA". It matches the Rfam family "Bacterial small subunit ribosomal RNA", at positions 63 to 450 of the family's 1533-position model. Lineage: Bacteria; Pseudomonadati; Pseudomonadota; Gammaproteobacteria; Moraxellales; Moraxellaceae. The record is from RNAcentral.
CGAGCGGGGAAGGUAGCUUGCUACCUAACCUAGCGGCGGACGGGUGAGUAAUGCUUAGGAAUCUGCCUAUUAGUGGGGGACAACAUUCCAAAAGGAAUGCUAAUACCGCAUACGUCCUACGGGAGAAAGCAGGGGACCUUCGGGCCUUGCGCUAUUAGAUGAGCCUAAGUCGGAUUAGCUAGUUGGUGGGGUAAAGGCCUACCAAGGCGACGAUCUGUAGCGGGUCUGAGAGGAUGAUCCGCCACACUGGGACUGAGACACGGCCCAGACUCCUACGGGAGGCAGCAGUGGGGAAUAUUGGACAAUGGGGGGAACCCUGAUCCAGCCAUGCCGCGUGUGUGAAGAAGGCCUUUUGGUUGUAAAGCACUUUAAGCGAGGAGGAGG